Molecule: long non-coding RNA, 3316 nt
Organism: Carya illinoinensis
Lineage: Eukaryota; Viridiplantae; Streptophyta; Magnoliopsida; Fagales; Juglandaceae
Exons: 4
Source: RefSeq, a predicted model, not a curated record
GGCUAGUUCUCAUUCUUGGCCCACUCGAAAAGCGUAAGAUCUGCUCACGCUCAGUCCCUACAUUUUGUUAUUUAAAUUUUCACAGAUUCAUUUUCUUCUCUCUUCCACGCCCUCUCUCUUCCCCCUCUGAACUCCAGUCUGUCCCUCUUUUCCUCUCUCCCUCUCUCUCUCGGCUAGCCCCAUCACCGCCCAACUCGGACCGUUGUCGCAUCGUCGUUCGUAUUUUAAUCGGCCCACACUUGCGGGGCUAGUUCUCAUUCUUGGCCCACUCGAAAAGCGUAAGAUCUGCUCACGCUCAGUCCCUACAUUUUGUUAUUUAAAUUUUCACAGAUUCAUUUUCUUCUCUCUUCCACGCCCUCUCUCUUCCCCCUCUGAACUCCAGUCUGUCCCUCUUUUCCUCUCUCCCUCUCUCUCUCGGCUAGCCCCAUCACCGCCCAACUCGGACCGUUGUCGCAUCGUCGUUCGUAUUUUAAUCGGCCCACACUUGCGGGGCUAGUUCUCAUUCUUGGCCCCACUCGAAAAGCGUAAGAUCUGCUCACGCUCAGUCCCUACAUUUUGUUAUUUAAAUUUUCACAGAUUCAUUUUCUUCUCUCUUCCACGCCCUCUCUCUUCCCCCUCUGAACUCCAGUCUGUCCCUCUUUUCCUCUCUCCCUCUCUCUCUCGGCUAGCCCCAUCACCGCCCAACUCGGACCGUUGUCGCAUCGUCGUUCGUAUUUUAAUCGGCCCACACUUGCGGGGCUAGUUCUCAUUCUUGGCCCCACUCGAAAAGCGUAAGAUCUGCUCUUGGAAAUCUCAAUGCGGUGGAGGAUAAAACUCUUUCGAUGGUAUGGAUGUUAAGUUUUUCUAGAAUUUAGUUCUACCGCUCAGUUAUUCAUAGACAGUACUGGAUUUAUAACUGUAUUUCGUUUUCUCCUUGGUCCGGUUAUUUUUCUUAAUAUUGUUGUUGUUUGGUACUUAUUCUUGAAGUCUAAGUUGCGUUUUCACCAAAUGUCUCUGAUAAUAAUAUAAUUUCCAAUUCUGUUAAAUACAAGGAAGAUAUGCUAGUUCAAAAAGGAAAUUCUAAUGCCAUAAUCUGUUUAACUGAUUGCGUAUACUUGUCUUAGAAAGAAGAUAAUACAUAUUGACAAGUUGUAAAUGCUGAGUUUUCCUGGAAAGUUUUCUUUCUAAUGUGAUUUGUUUGCAAAGGGAAUCCUAAGAGAGAGUUUAGACAUAUCCGUACUUGUUUACAGUGAGGCAUACAUGUGUAUUCAGAUAGAUUAGUCGAGGAGGCUCAGAAGGCAGUCCCAAACUGAUUUCAGUGUGGUAAGUUAGAAACUUUUAGCUAACUUCAUAUUUCAUUUUUAAUCUUAGUUCCAAACCUGCUGGAACACAAGUGUCAGUUAUGGGCAUGAAACUUUUCUUGCUUGUGUGUGUAUAAAACUCAUAAAAAUAUGAAGUAGAUAAUAUGCUGGAAGAGGGAGGGAGAGUAUAUUGAGGAGCUUCUGCUAGCUUAUGCUGUGUUGAGGAGGGUGGCCUUAGUUUUGGAUGAAAAAUGAGACAGAGACUGGCGACUUCACCUCGAGAACACUUCCAACAUUGUACUUUAAUCAUAUCCACUCUUAACCUCCCAAGAACCAAAUGUGCCAACUUAAGCAGUUCAGGCUUUCUGUGCUGUUGCAUUUUUGCAUGACUUGCAAUCUCUUUAGAGAGGGCUGGAUGGUAGGUAAACUGCUUGUAAGGCCUACUUUUAAUCUAAAGAAGAUGAGAGAUAACCUACAUUUGCUGGAGAUUCCCACAUUUACACUGUUUUCAUAUGUGAAAGCUUGUUGGAAAUUUCCAUUUUCCACAUUUCUAGUUCAUGUUUUACUCUUGAAUAUAAUCGUUUAUAUGGUUAGUAAUGUUGCAUUUGGUUGUUCACAGAAAAAAUAAGUUUUUUUUAGUAAGUUAAACUUUAAAACGAUCAAAUGACAAUUGGCACACACUUCCCCUGCAUUUUCUAUAUUUUAAUACUUGUGCUUAUAUUGUUUUCCUUUCUUUUCAAACUACCUAGAAAUUGUUAUUUGUAUUCCAAUAUUUUCUUUUUUGUAAUAUAUUGUUUACAUGCUUUAUGUAUUUUAGGUACAAGGCUUGUCAGCCUGUGAUGCUAUUUUGCUAGUAAUUUUUUUUUUCAUAAAAACCUAUUUCCAGCAGCUACAAAUUGCUGGAAAUAUACAUGCUUCUUUUGGCAAUUAAAAUAGCCGCAAAUAAGCAUGCUGCUCUAAUUUUUUAUGUUCUUUUCCUUUCUAUUUUCUUAUUUUUCGCUUUUCCUGAAAUUUUUUUGAUGUUUUUUGUCUGAGGUUUGGUUCUAAUAAGCUGAAAUGGAAUUGGGUUUUGUUCUCGAACACAUUUGCAGCUUAGUUUUCUUGUAUUGAAAAUUGUCAUUGAUCUCCCAAAUAUUAAUAUAGAAUGGCUAUUUGUUUUGGCAGGUGCUCAGGCUGUUGCCACCUGAGUUAUAUGCAUGUAUUUUCUUGCCAUUGAGUGCUUUUCUUGCUAUUGCUUUUAUUUGUUUUUUUUUAUUUUUUAUUUAAUGUAUUGUAGUAUUUGUGACACCAUGAAAAAAAAUAAAAAGGAAAAUGGAAUUAUUGGCUGUAAGGGUAGGUUUAGUUGGUCUAAAGUUACUGAAUCCCACUUUUAACAUGCUUUAUAGCACCUAAGUCAAUUCAGAAUAUAUCCAAACAAUGCCUUAUUAGAUUAUCCAACGUUUCUCACUUUUUCUUUUUCUUUUUCGUGAAGUAAUUUAUUUAACUAGUAUUUUUUGUUUUUAUGAUGAAGCUUUACAUUUAUUAUAUAAUCUUUUGAUCGAUUUCAUUUGUUUUAACCUUUUUACUCAUUGACAAAGAUUAUAAUGUUCGAAGUUUUAAUAAAAUUUACAGUUAUCCAUGCAAUUCAAAAUAUAAAAUAUAUUAAUUACUUUUCUUGCAAAGAAUUGCUUUUAUACCUUAGAGGCGUUGGAGCAUUCAUUUGCUGCAGCUUUGAAUGGCUGAACAAAAGGGAAUAUGUAUUUUUAUUUUGUUAAUAACUGCAAUAUAUCAUCAAUAAUGAUCAAUUGCUUGUAUUAUUGCAUUGGAGGGCACAUAUUUACAUACAUAUGGGUGCGAGAGGGCUUGAUUUUUAUUUUUAUUUUUUAAUUUCAGACAAAUAGCAAGUCUUUUUGGUUUCUCUAUCUUCUUCAUUAGGGUUCUUUAGUUGUCUCAUGCCAUCAUCUCUCAUGGACUAUUAUUUCUCAAGGUCUAUCCUUCAUCCUAGAUAAAAUUAUUUACCAGUCUUUAAUUUGUUGCAUUUCAAAUUUAUCAGCGUG